GAAAGAUCAAACCAGUACACUUUCUUCAAUUUACUGAACGUCAUCCAUUUACAAGAGAGGGAAUAUAUGCGGCAAAACUUGUGUAGCCGAAAAAAAAGGGAAAACAAGAAAGGAACAUGGUUCCAAAAUUUACACAAUUAAAAGCCUCAAGAAAGGAAAAAAAAAAAAAUAAAUCCAAUGGAUAUGCUUUUUCACACUGAUGUUUAAAUACUUCAAUCAUAUGACGCAGUUAAGGUCGUGGCUGCACUUGUUGAGUUUCCUGAUGACAAGGUUGAGUCAUCCAGUUUGUCAGAAUCAGAUGACAAAUUAAAUCCAGCCUUUGUUUCAGAUUUGGUUUUAUCAUAGGAAGAUGUCUUUUUCUGGGAUUUGGCUUUAGGGGGGCCUCGUAUUUUGAGGUCCAUGAAAUCAGUAAUUAAACCUGGUUUUGUUAUCU
This 433-nucleotide unclassified non-coding RNA is filed under the name Hevea brasiliensis (rubber tree). Lineage: Eukaryota; Viridiplantae; Streptophyta; Magnoliopsida; Malpighiales; Euphorbiaceae. The record is from RNAcentral.